Molecule: ribosomal RNA, 253 nt
Filed under: uncultured bacterium
Lineage: Bacteria
Description: partial 16S ribosomal RNA
Rfam family: Bacterial small subunit ribosomal RNA
Source: RNAcentral
UACGUAGGUGGCAAGCGUUGUCCGGAUUUACUGGGCGUAAAGAGCGCGCAGGCGGUCAGAUAAGUCGAAUGUGAAAGCCCCUGGCUCAACUGGGGAGGGUCAUUCGAUACUGUUCGACUCGAAGGCAGGAGAGGGAAGUGGAAUUCCCGGUGUAGUGGUGAAAUGCGUAGAUAUCGGGAGGAACACCAGUGGCGAAGGCGACUUCCUGGCCUGUUCUUGACGCUGAGGCGCGAAAGCUAGGGGAGCAAACGGG